Seriola aureovittata is the source of this 581-nucleotide long non-coding RNA. RefSeq lists it as uncharacterized. The record is from RefSeq and is a predicted model, not a curated record. NCBI's taxonomy places the organism in Eukaryota, Metazoa, Chordata, Actinopteri, Carangiformes, Carangidae. The transcript is spliced from 3 exons.
CGCUCGCACACCGAAAGCAGCGAGAGGACACGCGCGAACGAGUGAGAAACGAGAAGUAAAUCUCCGUUGGUUUAUUGCACACAAGUCGGUUGUAAACAUUAAAAGUGUUCGGAAGUGAUACCGGAAGUGACCGAGACGACCGGAAGCCCGUUGAUGUGGUUUUACUGUAUUGUGUGGACCGUCUUGGCUAGGUGUUUGACACCGCUGGAAACCCCUCGGAUUCUGGAAACUGGACAUGGGAUUUUUCUCCCCGAGGAGGGAGAUGGCGAGCCAGUGAGAGAUCUGAUUGUUUCUUCCAUCAGAGAGGGAACUCAUCCAUUCCUUCUCCAUUGUACAAGUUCACCGAUGUGGUGAACUUCAGAGCUUUUCCUCCAUCAUAAAUGACCAACUGUCAGGGGCAGAGGCGACAGAGGCUCGUCUGGUGUGUCACCACAUCUCCAUUAUGGAUCAUAAAUACAAAGUAGAUGAUAAGACACGCUGAGCAUGUGCCUGUGACUGUAAGUGUUUCACCUUGUUAACGUCCAUAUGAUGUUUUUAUAUAAUACAAGACAUAUGAGCGAAAUAAACAGUCGGCACCAUGA